UUGGUUCUUUGAAAUGAGAUUUUCCCUAAAUAACAAGGGGAGAGAGAGAGAGAGAGAGAGUCAAGCACGCAAAUCAAGAAAGAGGAAACAAGGGAGAGCUGGAUGCGGGCCGUGUUAAUAAAUGGUUGUUGAAGAAAGACUCAGUAACAUUAAAUAAUAACCUAUUGUGUGUGGUAAGAGGGAAGUUGCUUCACACUUGUUCUUGGCGGCCAUGAGAGAGAGAGAGAGACAGAUAGAGAGAGAAAGUAGAGAGAGAGAGUAACACAACACUAAAUGAAUGGACUGUGGGGAGAUGUGAGCUGACCUUUGCUGUUUGUAUUGUUACUUUGUGGGCUGUAUAAAUUAGUUGAAUUAUUUAUUUUUUUAUUUUUUGACCUUGCCCCAUGUUUUUGUUGUCUCAAGAAUAAUUUAUAUGUACAAUGAAAAAAGACAUACAAAAGUUUUAGUACAAUACAUAAUGUACUUUUUCG
This 470-nucleotide long non-coding RNA is filed under the name Erythranthe guttata (spotted monkey flower). Its description in RNAcentral is "long non-coding RNA (EGUT_LNC000853)". The record is from RNAcentral. Lineage: Eukaryota; Viridiplantae; Streptophyta; Magnoliopsida; Lamiales; Phrymaceae.